AGAGAGUUGAAACCCUAGGAUAAGGCAUAAAGAUGAAAUAAAAAAGGAUCGGUCAAAAUAGUAAAAAAGAAAACCAUAGUUGAAAGCAUUAAAAUGUGUAAGCACUUUCACAGAAAACCUAUUAGGGACCAAAACCCUAGGGUAAAAUGAAAUCGGUUAGCAAUUUUAGUAAAAGCAGAAUAAUCUUAAGGAAAAUAACAAAAAAACUCAAAACAGUCUCAAAUCUAAAGAAAUAUGAAUGGAUUUAACAGAAAUAUCCAGGUUUGUGAAUAGAGGUAGAAAAUCUUGUUCGAACCAGAGAUUUGAAGCCACGAAAAUACAAAAAUUAUAGUACAAAAAGACAUAGGGUUGAAUAUAUGAGAUUAAUCGAAAAGAUGAGAUAUUUGAACCAAAUCUGGUUCUAAUCGCUUGAGAUCCCAUUAAGUAACAUGAUAAUCGAACAAUCAGUAGAGGUAGGAGGUCGGAUAAGACGGUAAAUCACCAAAUGAUACCAUAUCUGAUUGGGAAUCGAAGGGAUUUGGAGGGAGUUUUUGAGUGAUUGUGCUCUAGGGCUUAAGGGCGUCUGAGAGAGAAUACAGGAGAAGAGGGUGGCAAUGUCUGAGAGAAAUGGG
Molecule: long non-coding RNA, 611 nt
Filed under: Nicotiana benthamiana
Lineage: Eukaryota; Viridiplantae; Streptophyta; Magnoliopsida; Solanales; Solanaceae
Description: long non-coding RNA (NBEN_LNC021769)
Source: RNAcentral